Molecule: ribosomal RNA, 119 nt
Filed under: Triticum aestivum (bread wheat)
Lineage: Eukaryota; Viridiplantae; Streptophyta; Magnoliopsida; Poales; Poaceae
Source: RNAcentral
GGAUGCGAUCAUACCAGCACUAAAGCACCGUAUCCCAUCAGAACUCCGUAGUUAAGCGUGCUUGGGCGAGAGUAGUACUAGAAUGGGUGACCUCCUGGGAAGUCCUCGUGUUGCAUUCC